UGGGGAAUAUUGGGCAAUGGGCGGAAGCCUGACCCAGCAACGCCGCGUGAAGGAAGAAGGCUUUCGGGUUGUAAACUUCUUUUCUUGGGGACGAAGAAAGUGACGGUACCUAAGGAAUAAGCCACGGCUAACUACGUGCCAGCAGCCGCGGUAAUACGUAGGUGGCAAGCGUUAUCCGGAUUUAUUGGGUGUAAAGGGCGUGUAGGCGGGACUGCAAGUCAGAUGUGAAAAACUAUGGGCUCAACUCAUAGCCUGCAUUUGAAACUGUAGUUCUUGAGUGCUGGAGAGGCAAUCGGAAUUCCGUGUGUAGCGGUGAAAAUGCGUAGAUAUACGGAGGAACACCAGUGGCGAAGGCGGAUUGCUGGACAGUAACUGACGCUGAGGCGCGAAAAGCGUGGGGAGCAAAACAGGAUUAGAUACC
Molecule: ribosomal RNA, 421 nt
Filed under: uncultured bacterium
Lineage: Bacteria
Description: bacterial SSU rRNA
Rfam family: Bacterial small subunit ribosomal RNA
Source: RNAcentral